GUCCAGACUCCUACGGGAGGCAGCAGUGGGGAAUAUUGCACAAUGGGCGCAAGCCCGAUGCAGCCAUGCCGCGUGUAUGAAGAAGGCCUUCGGGUUGUAAAGUACUUUCAGUCAGGAGGAAGGUGGUAAGGUUAAUAACCUUAUCAAUUGACGUUACCGACAGAAGAAGCACCGGCUAACUCCGUGCCAGCAGCCGCGGUAAUACGGAGGGUGCAAGCGUUAAUCGGAAUUACUGGGCGUAAAGCGCACGCAGGCGGUCUGUCAAGUCGGAUGUGAAAUCCCCGGGCUCAACCUGGGAACUGCAUUCGAAACUGGCAGGCUUGAGUCUCGUAGAGGGGGGUAGAAUUCCAGGUGUAGCGGUGAAAUGCGUAGAGAUCUGGAGGAAUACCGGUGGCGGAGGCGGCCCCCUGGACAAAGACUGACGCUCAGGUGCGAAAGCGUGGGGAGCAAACAGGAUUAGAUACCCGCGUA
This 471-nucleotide ribosomal RNA is filed under the name uncultured bacterium. RNAcentral's name for it is "bacterial SSU rRNA". It matches the Rfam family "Bacterial small subunit ribosomal RNA", at positions 329 to 792 of the family's 1533-position model. The record is from RNAcentral.